UCUUCAUGUUUUAAUUUUGCAUUUAGAUUUUGUACACUUUGUAAAUUUACAACAAAAGUUUUAUUAUAUGAGCAUUUGAAUUUACAACUUGCUCCUCUGAACUAACUCUUCUCGAUGACAUUCUCCUUAGGAGGAGUGAUUCUUGAGCAACUGAAAAUUUGAAAUGGGAGGAUUUAUGCUUUUCUGGAUGACGAUUCAAAGGGAUCCGGUUGCCCAUUAUUUGAGAAUUUUGCAGAAAACAUCGGCAAUGGCACUGCUUGUUUAAGAACAUUUAUAACCUGUUCUGAGGUUGGCCUUUCCUUGUGGUCUUGGAGGGUACACCAUAUUCCUACAUUGAGCAAGCAUUUCAUUUCAUAUAUGUCAAAAUCCAUCUUCAAUUCCUCAUCAGCAGCAUUCAAAAUAUUCCCAUCCACGUAAUGUUUCCAUACCCAUUUCGCCAAAGGCACAUGAUUAUCUUCGCCAUCCUGGUACCCAUAUGUCCCC
Molecule: small RNA, 483 nt
Filed under: Vigna angularis var. angularis
Lineage: Eukaryota; Viridiplantae; Streptophyta; Magnoliopsida; Fabales; Fabaceae
Description: Non-protein coding transcript
Source: RNAcentral